GGCGCACGGGUGCGUAACGCGUAUGCAACCUACCUUUAACAGGGGGAUAACACUGAGAAAUUGGUACUAAUACCCCAUAAUAUCAUAGAAGGCAUCUUUUAUGGUUGAAAAUUCCGAUGGUUAGAGAUGGGCAUGCGUUGUAUUAGCUAGUUGGUGGGGUAACGGCUCACCAAGGCGACGAUACAUAGGGGGACUGAGAGGUUAACCCCCCACACUGGUACUGAGACACGGACCAGACUCC
RNAcentral lists this ribosomal RNA (241 nucleotides) under uncultured Alistipes sp. RNAcentral describes it as "partial 16S ribosomal RNA". It matches the Rfam family "Bacterial small subunit ribosomal RNA", at positions 97 to 339 of the family's 1533-position model. Lineage: Bacteria; Pseudomonadati; Bacteroidota; Bacteroidia; Bacteroidales; Rikenellaceae. The record is from RNAcentral.